This 3355-nucleotide long non-coding RNA is filed under the name Setaria italica (foxtail millet). RNAcentral's name for it is "long non-coding RNA (SITA_LNC006201)". The record is from RNAcentral. Lineage: Eukaryota; Viridiplantae; Streptophyta; Magnoliopsida; Poales; Poaceae.
CUACCUCCAUUGCUAUACACCCAAAGCUCCGAGCUCCUCUAUUUUCCAGCGCCAUAUACCCAACCCUGGCCACCUCCACGCAAUCUACUGUGCCACUAGCUCCUCCAGUCUCCUAGCCACCUCCUUGCCCUAUCAACACCGCUCGCCGUGCCUCCGCGGCAAAUAAUCAGAAACUUCUCACCACCAUCUCCAAGUUCGUCCUUCUUUGUUCGCUGGAGAAAUCCACCGCCGUUGCUGAGCCACUGCUCGAUUCCUUACAGCCAUAGCACCUUCUCGAGCUCGCGCAUCAAGUUCGCUACUUCCCAGCCGUCCUCCCUCGCCGGGCAGGCACCUCCGCGGUGAGCUCCCUCCGCCGGUCUGGCAGCUUGUGAAAGCCCCCACUGGUCGUUCCCCUCCUUGCCGCCUACCUGCCCCUGCGUGAGCCACUGGCCUCUGUGCGCCGCCCCCUCCUUUUCCCCCUGCCACCGCCGGCCUCAAGUUGCCCAUGCGUGCCACGCCAUGUCUGUGCUGUGUGUGAUGUUCAGUCUCGAGGUUGAAGAAUGGGCUAGGGAUCCGAUUGCUUUUGAGAAAGAAAGUUCAGGGGGUCCUGCAUAAAGUUUUGGGUUUAAGUGUUAAGUGAGAAGUUUUUUUAGGGACCUUUGCGCAAUUAAACCUUAUAUGCUAGAUUGCAAGUUGACCUCGGUUUUCCUUUUUUCCUAGAUCUAAAAAGGCUGAAACUUUGAAAAUACAUAAGUAAAUGUAGAAAAAGGAAAAAUGUGAUUCUUAUUUUGCUAGGUUCCUAGUAAUGCCUAGUUUCAUUUAAAAAUACUCAUAUGCAUGUUGAUGAUCCGUAUUUAGCACUAGAUUUUAUUUGGUCUUUAAGCCUUUAAAUGCUUAGUAAAUCACACAAAAAUGGUAAAAUAACAAAACCACCUCUGUUAGCUUUGUCACACUGAGCUUAUGCUAGGAAUAAUAUUUGUGACCCUAUUUUAGAUGUUUUGCACACUGUUUUAGCUUUAUAUUUGAAAUCUAGUGAAAGAUUUUACUUUUUGCAUAGUAAUUGGAAACUGUCAGAGAAAAAUGUGAAACCACCUCUGUUAAAAUACUUGUGUUAUGUAAUUGCUAGGAAAAAUGUUGCUCACCUGAUGAAACCAAAUGAAACAUGAUUUUCUUUUAAUGCAAAUUUAAGUAAUAGAAAAAUAUGGAAAAUAGAUGUGCUUCACCAAAAAUCAUAGAAAAUUCACUGUAACCUCUAUUGCACUUGUGUAACACACUAUUGAAAUGUCAACAACAAACUCUUUUUAGAAUUUGAGUUAAAAAUAGUUAAGUACUUGCUACCUUGGUUUCAUGAAAUGAUUUUAAUUGUUUUUGUACUGAUCCAAUGCACCCCAAACUUUUACAGCAACCUAGUAAUAACAUGCUUGAGCUACUAUAAUUUUAUGAUGUCAUACCUCACUAUUUGCAUGCUAAAAUGAAAUUUGGAAGUUAAACCCGAUUAAAGGAAUAAAAGAACAUUUAGUAGUAGUAAGGGUAAAAUGGUAAUAUUGGUAGAGGUACAACAAAACAUUGAGAAACUAUUUGACUUUCCAAUCUGAAGUUAAUGAACAUGUUAUACAUAUAUGUGUGCACGACCUCUAACAAAAUCGAGCUAAGUGUCUAAAUCGUGAAUACAAUUUAAAACUGUAAUCAGGUGCUUGUCUAAAAAAAAGUUUUGGUCUUGAACUAGCUUUACUUUUUGAUAAUAUAUGAACUGCCUUUCAGAUCUCAAAAAUAUGAAAUGUUGAAGUAUUACAUAUGCAUCCCAUGUAGAGGCCAAUCUCGCCAACGGGACGUACGAGCUUCACCCGACUCAAGAAGAGGAGCCCCUGGUGGACCUGCAUCACGUGGAUGCCGAGCCCGCUCAAGACCAAGCACCGGAAGACCCGCUAACUCUCGCUGAAAAUGAAGGCAUGCCCCGGAGCAUAACCCGGUUUUCUAAACUUGUGCAAUACUUUCUAUUGAUUAUGUUUGUGCAUUUAAGUUUAUAGCCGUUGCUUGAAAACUUAGCUGCAUAAUCUUAGUACCUUUGAUCUGAACACUAGCAUGAUAGGUCGAAUAGAUGCCAUGCUAAUAGGACACGGUAAAAGUCGAGUGGUUUUCUGUCACUCGUGAGUUAAUAGGAGUUGUUUGUUCACUUAUGUUACAGCCCUAAGGAUGAUGGCCGGAGCUAGGCUAUUUGAAUUAUUUUGGUGGUUGGUAGAUUGCCCCAUCUGUCUAAAUGAAAAUAUGCUAAGGUUGAACCGUGUCGUUGUUCGUGAUCAAGUAUUUGAAAGUACUAAUCUCAUAUCUAGUAUGGGAUGAGGAAGCCUGGUACCUGAUUGAACCAGGGCGUGAGCGGAUAGUCCAACAUCUCUGGAACAUAGUUCCCAUGUGGCCACAUGUGGGUACAAGGGCUACCAUGGUACGACGUCAUCCAUGACCGUGGGGACUUAAAUCCGAGGGAGUGGGCCCAACACGUGCCUGGGGAUUGAUGGGGACAUUUGACAAGUGAAGUGAACUCGGCGUGGUACACGGAUAUUGUGGGGUUAGGUCCACCUUGCAAGGUUUAAAAACUCAAUUUGAAUCGUGUGCCUCUCAUAGUUUGAGACUGCUUGAUCGCUAUGCUGCACUGAGUAAGAAGUGGAACAGAGGACGAUAUUUACUACUGAUGCUUGAUUUAAAUUGCUUGUUCAACAUGCUUGAUUAGAAAAGGUGCAUACCUAGAAUGGUUAAUGAACUAAAACCUGAUGCUAAAACUUGAAAUUAAGAAUCUACUUUAGCUGCUUUUGGCAAAACAAACCCCUCAGCCAAAAAGCCUUGCAUGUCUAGAAGUCAGUGGAGUAGUUACCACAUGAUGGGUAAGUCUUGCUGAGUAUUAGUAUACUUAGCCUUACUUGUGGCUUAUCUUUUCAGGUUGUGGUUUAAAUGAAGUGGCUGCUAGCUUUACUUGGCCUACCUAGCUCUAUUUGGGUUGGACGGUUGAGUGGAAUCCCUCCUCAAACAGCGAGGACAGGGGUUAUUAAUGUCAUGGUCGGCUUCGCCAUGAUAUUUUGUAUCGACGUUUAGCUUCCGAGCACAUUUACUUUUCCGCUGCUACAACACUCUGCAAAUCUUGGUUGAAUUUCAAACUUAUGUUGUAAUAAUAAUUCAGACUUAUGUUUAAUCGAGAUGGAAUGUUGUAUUCUCUGAAACCCUCACCUUCAUGUGAGCUUGCUUUGUUUGAUAUGGAGAUAAGUGGUUUAUCGGAUGAAAUCUGACGGACCACCGAGUUGACUCAUUUAAAGUGUGAGAUUGCGUGUUAUGCGAUUUAAGUAUACUUUACUUGGGUUAAUUUGGGCGGCGGGGCAGGCGGCAUCGG